GUCGACGGCAGCGCGGGGCAACCUGGCGGCGAGUGGCGAACGGGUGAGUAAUAUAUCGGAACGUACCCUGGAGUGGGGGAUAACGUAGCGAAAGUUACGCUAAUACCGCAUACGAUCUAAGGAUGAAAGUGGGGGAUCGCAAGACCUCAUGCUCCUGGAGCGGCCGAUAUCUGAUUAGCUAGUUGGUGGGGUAAAGGCCUACCAAGGCAUCGAUCAGUAGCUGGUCUGAGAGGACGACCAGCCACACUGGAACUGAGACACGGUCCAGACUCCUACGGGAGGCAGCAGUGGGGAAUUUUGGACAAUGGGCGAAAGCCUGAUCCAGCAAUGCCGCGUGAGUGAAGAAGGCCUUCGGGUUGUAAAGCUCUUUUGUCAGGGAAGAAACGGUGGAGGCUAAUAUCCUUUGCUAAUGACGGUACCUGAAGAAUAAGCACCGGCUAACUACGUGCCAGCAGCCGCGGUAAUACGUAGGGUGCAAGCGUUAAUCGGAAUUACUGGGCGUAAAGCGUGCGCAGGCGGUUUUGUAAGUCUGUCGUGAAAUCCCCGGGCUCAACCUGGGAAUUGCGAUGGAGACUGCAAGGCUAGAAUCUGGCAGAGGGGGGUAGAAUUCCACGUGUAGCAGUGAAAUGCGUAGAGAUGUGGAGGAACACCGAUGGCGAAGGCAGCCCCCUGGGUCAAGAUUGACGCUCAUGCACGAAAGCGUGGGGAGCAAACAGGAUUAGAUACCCUGGUAGUCCACGCCCUAAACGAUGUCUACUAGUUGUCGGGUUUUAUUAACUUGGUAACGCAGCUAACGCGUGA
Molecule: ribosomal RNA, 801 nt
Filed under: Janthinobacterium sp.
Lineage: Bacteria; Pseudomonadati; Pseudomonadota; Betaproteobacteria; Burkholderiales; Oxalobacteraceae
Description: bacterial SSU rRNA
Rfam family: Bacterial small subunit ribosomal RNA
Source: RNAcentral